Long non-coding RNA from Zingiber officinale, 772 nucleotides. RefSeq lists it as uncharacterized. Lineage: Eukaryota; Viridiplantae; Streptophyta; Magnoliopsida; Zingiberales; Zingiberaceae. The transcript is spliced from 3 exons. The record is from RefSeq and is a predicted model, not a curated record.
CUCCUCACCCGCCCGAUUCUUCCCCUAACCCGACGCCUCUUCUCCUUCCUCUCGGCGCCGAGCUCUCCCCCUUUCUCCUUCUUUCGAUCCCAUGCCCUAACCGCAAAACUGCCACGCAGUUCCUUCUUCCCCUUCCUCGCGUGCCCUAGCGACACCUUUUCCCUCUGCGGCCGAGCCCUAGCUCGAUUCAUCUCGCGCGACUUUCCCUGUUUCUUCCCUAUCUCGGCUGUUGAGAUCAGGAAGCACCGAGCCCUCUUUGCCUUGGCUCCGGCAGCAGACCUUAUCUUCUGCUCUAGCACCUGCCGCGAUUGUCUCUGCCCGACACCGACCCUCAUCUCCCCUGCUCGGUGUCGCCGACCCAAAUCUGGUCUCUUUUGUUCUGCCGACAGCAGCCUUUCAACUUUGCCCUAGAUCGUCGGAAUCUGGAAGCUUGAGUGGGUCUUCGGUUAGGAGCAGCAACCCAAGCCUUGGUGUCCCCCCUUCCGUGCCCUAGUUCCACUGUUGGGUCUUCCUUCAGCCACCUCCUACAGUGCACCAACAGGGGAGCAUCCGAAAUUGCAGCUUACCCUGGAGGUCCUUGCUUCAGCCCUGAGUAGAGAGUUGACAACCCUACAGCGGUGUUUGGUGUUGAGGGAACCCCACCGGUCAUUCUGUUUUGGGCAGGGAACCCCUUCGACUGUGAGCCAUCAGCGAUCAUCUUGGAUUUGGGACUGUGAUUUGAGACGGGCGUCUCAACAUCAGAUUGGUUCGAUUUGAUCUAUUGGAGGCGGGU